AAUAGUUUAAAAUAAUAUAUCUAUAUUUUUUUCCUAUAAACCAGGAGCUCUACAGUGAUCCGACCGUCCAAUUUCUCACAAAGACCGAACCCAAGCCAGGACUUUGUCCUGUGGCCUCCUUGCCAUCAUACCACCAAGAC
This 140-nucleotide long non-coding RNA is filed under the name Fukomys damarensis (Damara mole-rat). RNAcentral describes it as "lncRNA (ENSFDAG00000023827.1)". The record is from RNAcentral. Lineage: Eukaryota; Metazoa; Chordata; Mammalia; Rodentia; Bathyergidae.